Molecule: long non-coding RNA, 204 nt
Filed under: Elaeis guineensis (African oil palm)
Lineage: Eukaryota; Viridiplantae; Streptophyta; Magnoliopsida; Arecales; Arecaceae
Description: long non-coding RNA (EGUI_LNC009614)
Source: RNAcentral
CUUCCACAGAUCUCACCGACUUCCUUCUUUGUGGCAUUCUCAUUUUGGGGGCCAUGUCCCAAGAAGAGGGUGGAUAAUGGUCAAGAGAGUGGAGAAGGAUGCGGAUUGAAGUGUAACUAAGUGGAGAGAAUAUUUUUUGAAGAGUUUCUCAUAGAUUUGAGGAUUAGGAUUUGGUAUUUGAGGAAAACUGAAAAAUGAGCCAUG